UGAGAAGGGGUUAGCAACUAGCAGCAAAGCUUGCUCUUUGGAGAGAGAUGAGACCGAAUUUGACGAUGGUGGAGCUGGGUAUUUGUUCGUUGUUCUUGAUAAUAAUGGAUGAUGAAUUGAGAUGAUUUAAUUGAUGAUGUAUUGAUGAACUUGGCUGUUGGGGAUGAAGAAGACGAACAUUGAGGUGGUAGUCGCUAGGGAUGAGGGAGAUGAGGAUUGAGGUGGCCGCUGGGGAUGAGUGAGAUGAAGAUUGAGAUGAAGAUGGAGAUGAAGAUUGAGAGAUGAACUGAUGAAGAUUGAGGGAUUGUUUUGUUUUGCUUAUGUUCCCC
Molecule: long non-coding RNA, 329 nt
Filed under: Citrus sinensis (sweet orange)
Lineage: Eukaryota; Viridiplantae; Streptophyta; Magnoliopsida; Sapindales; Rutaceae
Description: long non-coding RNA (CSIN_LNC004995)
Source: RNAcentral